RNAcentral lists this long non-coding RNA (5345 nucleotides) under Homo sapiens (human). RNAcentral describes it as "HSALNT0397163". Lineage: Eukaryota; Metazoa; Chordata; Mammalia; Primates; Hominidae. The record is from RNAcentral.
CAAGACCUCCUCUUUGGGUUCAAUUAAUCUGCUAGAAUGGUUCACAGAACUCAGAGGAACACUUACUUACAUUUACCAGUUUAUUAUAAAGAAUAUUUCAAAGGAUACAGAUGAAGAAAUGUGUAGGGUAAGGUAUGGGGAAAGGGAUGGAGAGCUUCCAUGCCCUACCUGGGGUGCACCAUCCUGCAGGAACCUCUGUGUGUUUGUCUAUCUGGAAGUUUUCCAGGAACUAGGAGAGGAACUCUGUUCUUAUGGGUUUUUACAGGGGCUUCAUUACAUAAGCAUGAUUGCCUAAACCACUGGUCAUUGGUGAUCAACUUAACCUUCAGCACCUCCCCACUUCCUGGAGUCCCAACACUCUAAUCCUGCCUUGGUCUUUCUGAUGACCAGCUUCUCUCUUGAAGCUAUAUAGGAGCUCUCAGCCAUCAGCCAAUUCAUUAGCAUACAAGAAGACAUCACUUGGAAGAGUCCAAGGAAUUUAGGAGUUGUAUGCCAGGAAAUGGUGUCAAAGACCAAAUAUAUAUUUUACAACAUCACAAUUAGCCUGCCACAAUUUCAUGGACAUUGGCAGAGGACAAAAGACUCCUAGGUCAGAGACAAAGAACUUUAUUACUCACAGAAAUAGCAAUAGCCCAAGUAUCAACAUUUUCUUGUGCUAGUUUCUUGAGCCCUGACUCCCACAUGGUGAUGGAAAAGCCAGGUGACAUCUGCACACUCAGUGGACGUGUUGCAGGAGAGGAGCUCUGAGCUUUGAGAACCUGGAUCUUUUAUGUUGGGCAGUAAGCAAACCUAGCCUUUGCUCUAGAGGGAGACAUUCUCUUUACCUUCCAAGGCUGUUCACUAUACAGUGAUUCUUUUUAAGAUUGUUCUGAACAAAGGCAGCCAGUCCCUCUGCUCACAAGACAUGCAGAAACAUGAAAGACCCAUAAGGACAGGAAUAUUUUAUGUCAACCCAAUGACAUAAUUUUCUUCCCAUGCACCAAUGAGGGCUUCUGCAGAUUGUCUUUUGCAGUAUAAAAUGUGACUCGUUUACUUUAGAUGCUCUGGAACAGUUGAAGAAAACAAGAAAUAAGGCAGACUGCAACACAGACUAGAAGGUCAUGCUAUCCCUUCUCUAGCCAACAGUGGAAAAUGACAGGGGAAGUAAGCCACGCCUGGGGCUGUAAACAUACCAGACAAGAAGAAACUCAAUUCUGGAACGAGGGUAGAGGGCUGAUGGAGACUUCAUAAAGGGAGAAGCUGAGAGAAGAUGGCCUUCAGGGAGACAGGAGUGAAAGGAGAUACAGUGUUUUUACUGGGGGCCAAUGCCCAAUUUUUCACUUAAUUCUGUUUAUUUUGAGUUUUAUCACUGGAAACAGAAAGUUCAUUGAAUCAUCUCCAGGAUUCUAAGAACAAGGGGUCAUAUGGGCAGGAAAGAGCUCUCCCCACCGCAUGCUCCAUGCAAACACCUUCAGGAUGGAGAAAGACAGAGAAGUGCAGAGACAGUGCCACAAAGAGAAGGAGCUGCUAAGUCACACCUGGCUUGAAGGGGGCUUUCUUGGCUCCCAUAUUGUUGCUGCACACCUAGGAUUCAGCCUAGAUCCAGUUACUUGCUGCACAGAAAGCCAAUCACUGAAACAAUCAGUAUUGCCAGGGAAGAAAGGCUUUGUUGUGGGUGACACCAGCCAGAAGAUGGGAGACAAGUCUCAAAUCCAUCUCCCUAAGUGACUAUUGUCAGGGGUUCAUUUAAACAGGAGCUGAUAACAGGCAGCAGGUGGCCUCACCACCUGGAUACAAUUAUCUGGAAAGCUUUAGCUCCCUGACACUACCUGGAAAGCCUGAUGGUCAGCUUCCUGAAAAAGGAAAUCGGACAAAUGUAAAUUUCUCAAGCUUGAAGACUGGGAGGGUCAACUUCUACAUUUAUUCAAAAAACCCACAAACAUCAGUUCUAUGGGAAAAUUGGGCCAGUUUCAACAGAUGGGCCAGUUUCUGCGGACAGCAGCAUCUGAGUCAAACACCAGGAUAGGGCUCAGCAAAGCACAAGAGUGGAUGACAAAUUUGCUUCUUGACAUGAUAAUUCACAGGUAGCUGCAAACUCCUGCAAGAGCCUCACACAUCCUCUUACUGGGAAUCUGAAGGCCAGUUCUGGACCUGUUGAGUAGGAAGAGGAACAUUUGGAGAUGCCCACCCAAGAUUCCAGACUUGAGAGACAUGCUAGCCUCUGCAGCCUAUGUUUUCAGAAAGCAGCAGCAUGGAGGCAGGGGUGUGGACCACCCUGUCCCUGUCUGGCCCUGGGACUUAGAACCCCUGCCCUUGGCGGUAGGCAUGUUCUUCCAUGUGAGACAUUAUAUAACAUUCACCAAGGCCCAGUGGCCUCAGCUCCAUGGGAUCGGAGAGGCCAGGGAGCUGUGAGUCACACUUGCCUCAGAGCUGGGUGGGGCUCUCCCACUCAGCGGCAGGCAGCGUGCAUUCCCAUUCUGUUGUAAGCAGUGCAGCAUGCCCAGUCACACUGCUUCCCAAUAAUCUUUCAUAACAAACAUCCAGGGCGUUUCAAGCAGUGCCAAGUGGGCUCUGAAGUGGAAACAGGGAACCUGCUCUGAAGCAUAGCAGCUCUGCCACCUUCCCACUCUCGGGGCACUGCAGGGGGUGGUGGGGGGUUAGUAAAUGGAUGAACACCCUUAAUUGCCUUGCCUGUGGGCCAAAUGUGGUUAGUGAGAAAUAAGCUCCUCAAAUACAACAUGCUGGAGCUGGAUUUCACAAUCAGCUGUGAUAUGGACAUGAGUCCAGAGAGGAGUGGUAGGGCAGGGCCGGCAGUGGUGCAGGCACAGGCGUGGCCUUGGCUGCCCACUGGACUUCAGGACAGCCCUCCAGCCAGCAGCAUCAUGGGGGCAGGGGGAUCAGCCCAUGCACUUUGGCAGUUAGUUUGAGGAGUUUCUGAGUCAGCGUACUAAGAACAUUUUAUUUAGUGUCACCGUGUCCGAGGUCAAUGGACUUUCAUGGUUAUCUCAUCUUACAUCCCUCUUUCGUGGUUGGAGAGACUGAGGUCUGGGCAGACAAUUUAAUAAAAAUAAUUCAGUCACAGCUGUCUUUCUUUGGGACUAUCCCCAUUUAACAGAUGGAGAAUGAGGCUUGCUGCAAACCUGCCGGUCAGUGAGGGGCAGAGCUGCGACCUCAACCAUCAGCCUAUGGAAAACAGAUAUCUGCCCAGUUCCUGGGAUCUGUGCUUGUCUCAGUCCAUGUUCCUAUAAAGGAAUACCUGAAACUGGGUAAUUUAUAAAGAAAAGAGGUUGAUUUGGCUCAUGGUUCUGCAGGCUGUACAGGAAGCAUGGUGCCAGCAUCUGUUUCUGGUGUGGCCUUAGGAAGCUUCCACUCAGAGGGGAAGGUGAAGGGGGAGCCGACAUUUGCAGAGAUCACAGAGCAAGAGAGCAAGAAAGGAGAGGUGCCAGGCUCUUUUCAGCGACCACUUCUCACAGGAACUAAGAGUGAGAAUCACACCAAGCCACACGUGGGGUAUCCACAGCCAUGACCCAGAUACCUCCCGUCAGGCACCACUCCCAACGCUGGGAUCCAACUUGAACAUGAGACUUGGCAGGGCCACAGGAGUGCUCCUGAAACAAAUGUGACAUAGCUGGGCACCCGUUACAGGCUGAGCACUGCUUUAGGCACUCAGGUGACGGUGGAAAGUAAGAUGGAAAGAUCCCUGUUCUCACAAUUUCCGCAGAAGUUACAAGGAGAUUUGGUUCCUGGGUGCCAAGGCUUGGCAGUGUUCGAGGAUACCCCACAAGGUGCCAUCUGUAGGUAAGGCAACAGUAAUUCCCUUGAGGACUCAAAUUUACAGAGAUCCCAAACAGCAUACAUUUGAGAGACAUUUUCUCCAGACAAAGAGGAUGAGAAGGAGAAUAUCCCACCCAGAGAUCAUACUCAGAACUUAGGAAACAGUUCUUCUCAUGUUAUUGUAUUUAGAUGGUUAACAUUCUUUGUUCUUUCUCGUUUUUCAUCUACAGUGUCAUUCUCAUCAAGGGAGCAUCUUUCUCCUCAUUAAAAUAGGAGGGGAGAUAUUCAGAAAGAUAUUUAAUUUUACAGUGCAGGGAAACAAAUACUAUUUAUUUAUUAGUAUAAUUAGGACAAGAGACAAAACAUAUCUCAGAUGUCUUUGAGCCUUUUAUUGCUGCAGAUAUUGUCUUUCAAAACAUCUGAAAAUUAAGCCAUGAAGCAGCAUUUACAUUCCCCCAAUUACCAAUGGGAUGAGUUUCCCUGGGAAGGAGAGGGGAGUGGGGAGCUGCUGCAGCUGGAUCAUAUGCACUUUAUUCAUUAGGCAGUAAUAAGAAAUUUACCAUUUUCCAUAAAGGGGCUAUUUCAGAUCCCACCAAUCAAUGAGCCAGGUGGGAAAUUCUGCACCCGUAUUUGCAUGAGGGAGCAGAGUCACACCUCAAAUAUUUAAGCUAAAACUCUUUAAUAACAGCAUAAAAGCAGAGCAGGUGUUAAAUUACUGCAGGAUUUGUGUUGUCAUCCCAGCCCAAAUGUGGAUGCUCCUGAAUGACUGUGACAUUUCUGCCACGGGGAACUGGGUGACCCAGUCCUGCUAAGUCUGGCUGGGCAGGCUCUGGGGCCAAGGUGAUUGAGGACUAUGCAUAAGAAAAGAGAAGUGCACAAGAAAAAUCCCAUUCUUGAGGAAUGAAAGCUGACGGUCAUGCCUCUGGCUGCUCUGCCUACAUCAUCCAGUCAUACCAAGAACAGAGGACAGUAAGCUUCUGCACAUGUCAAAGAUGGUUUGCAUCAGAUGUGCUUAUUUUGUGUGGCAGCCAUACCUUCUUCUGGUAAAAGGAUCCCUGGUUCCCUUUGGUUCCCUCUGCUCUGUUGCAUGCAGGCUGGCUGCAAUUGUCAACCAGGGCACCCUGCCACUCUCACUGCAUUAGGCAAGGAAUAGGAAUGUGACAAAAGACAGCCCAGUUGGCUUCUUUCUUGGGACUUCGACUCUCAAGGUACAUGAGGCAAGGAUGAAUAGAAUGGUUAGGGUUGAUGAGCUGCCAAUUAGCCCCGCCUGCCUGGGUCCCUGGAGUGGCCCCUGUUUCUGUUUCUUGCAUGUCUCUGUCUCGGUGUUCCUUUGAUUUGAUGCAUUCUGUAAUAUCUUCCCAUUAAAUUUCACUUUUGCUUAAGCUAGCCAGAGUUGAUUUCUGUUGCUUGCAAUUAAAAAACCUUGACUGAUAUAAAAAUAACAGCAGCAACAACAACAGUUGCAGAUGUUGUUUAUUAAGAGCAGAGCUUUAUAAGAUGUUACCUCAUCUAAUGGUCACAGAGUCAAACUAAAGUAGGUAUUAUUAUUGCUAUCUUAUAACAUGGAGUAUUCAGAGUCAGAAGCAGCCCAG